CCCGGACGUGGAGCAGAGGCAGACUCGCCGCCUUGUCAGGGCGGAUACGCCGGUUCGAAUCCGGCCGUCCGGGACC
Molecule: transfer RNA, 76 nt
Filed under: Streptomyces sp. NBRC 14336
Lineage: Bacteria; Bacillati; Actinomycetota; Actinomycetes; Kitasatosporales; Streptomycetaceae
Description: tRNA-Asp
Rfam family: tRNA
About the family: Transfer RNA (tRNA) molecules are approximately 80 nucleotides in length. Their secondary structure includes four short double-helical elements and three loops (D, anti-codon, and T loops).
Source: RNAcentral